UACGUAGGGGGCAAGCGUUGUCCGGAAUCAUUGGGCGUAAAGAGCGUGUAGGCGGCCAGAUAAGUCCGCUGUGAAAUCUCGAGGCUCAACUUCGAGCUGUCGGUGGAAACUGUCUGGCUAGAGUCCGGAAGAGGAGAAUGGAAUUCCUGGUGUAGCGGUGAAAUGCGCAGAUAUCGGGAGGAACACCAAUGGCGAAGGCAGCUCGCUGGGACGGUACUGACGCUGAGGCGCGAAAGCGUGGGGAGCAAACAGG
Molecule: ribosomal RNA, 253 nt
Filed under: uncultured bacterium
Lineage: Bacteria
Description: partial 16S ribosomal RNA
Rfam family: Bacterial small subunit ribosomal RNA
Source: RNAcentral